This is a long non-coding RNA of Esox lucius (northern pike), 501 nucleotides long. Lineage: Eukaryota; Metazoa; Chordata; Actinopteri; Esociformes; Esocidae. The record is from Ensembl.
AGUACUCUGUGUAUGUUACAUUAUACAGCCUUUUACCUUUUUGCGAAUUACACCUCAUCCGAGGAUUACAACAAGUAGCAUAUAUUUUUCUCUCCAAAUGAGUAGUUAACAGCGUAGAGUCGGCCUACGUGUUGAUGAACAGCAGUCAGGGAGAUUUAGAUCGUUAGUCUGACACAUGAACAACUCAUUAUCCCAGCGAAGCAGAAAAUGAUUCAGCGCAGGAUGUGCGUGUGUCAUUCAGCCUGAUUGGAGAGACAUGCAGCAUCGUGAGGAGAAGUAGCUUCUUGCAAAUCCUCCUAGACUACAACCACCGGAAGCCAUGACUGAUGAAAGGCUGCAUAGGCCUACAUGCAAGCGUGCAUCGUCUGGUUUACAGGUUUUCCUGUUUUAGACAAACCAGAGCACAGGCAACAGUUGGGACAUGACAUGAGCAGAAAAAGGACAACAUCACAGUGAAAGCAGUUGAGGGACAAGCGAGAAGAAAGAGCAGUAUGAGACAGG